This 76-nucleotide transfer RNA is filed under the name Alphaproteobacteria bacterium. RNAcentral describes it as "tRNA-Trp". It matches the Rfam family "tRNA". Rfam says of the family: Transfer RNA (tRNA) molecules are approximately 80 nucleotides in length. Their secondary structure includes four short double-helical elements and three loops (D, anti-codon, and T loops). Further hydrogen bonds mediate the characteristic L-shaped molecular structure. tRNAs have two regions of fundamental functional importance: the anti-codon, which is responsible for specific mRNA codon recognition, and the 3' end, to which the tRNAs corresponding amino acid is attached (by aminoacyl-tRNA synthetases). tRNAs cope with the degeneracy of the genetic code in two manners: having more than one tRNA (with a specific anti-codon) for a particular amino acid; and 'wobble' base-pairing, i.e. permitting non-standard base-pairing at the 3rd anti-codon position. The record is from RNAcentral. Lineage: Bacteria; Pseudomonadati; Pseudomonadota; Alphaproteobacteria. RNAcentral also lists the same sequence under 3 other names.
AGGAGUGUAGCUCAAUUGGUAGAGCACCGGUCUCCAAAACCGGGGGUUGGGGGUUCGAUUCCUCUCGCUCCUGCCA